GUGGAGAGCAUGAGCCGGGAAAGGAAAGACCGGUGCAAGCGGGACAGUAGCCAUGCAGGCAAAUCCGUGUGGCAAUACGAAGGCGUGACGCGGACCGAAAUAAAGUAGGGAAGCAUGUGAGCCAUGUGCCAAGAAAAGCCGCUAUAGAUCAUAUCGUACCCGUACCGUAAACCGACACAGGUAGAUGAGGAGAGAAUCCUAAGGCCGACGGGAGAAGCAUUGUUAAGGAACUCGGCAAAAUGACCCCGUAACUUCGGGAGAAGGGGUGCCCACACGAGUGGGCCGCAGAGAAUAGGCUCAAGCAACUGUUUAGCAAAAACACAGGUCUAUGCGAAACCGAAAGGUGAGGUAUAUGGGCUGACGCCUGCCCGGUGCUGGAAGGUUAAGAGGAGGAGUCAGGCAACGAAGCUCCGAAUUUAAGCCCCAGUAAACGGCGGCCGUAACAAUAACGGUCCUAAGGUAGCGAAAUUCCUUGUCGGGUAAGUUCCGACCCGCACGAAAGGCGUAAUGAUUUGAGCACUGUCUCGACAAUGCACCCGGUGAAAUUGAAGUACCAGUGAAGAUGCUGGUUACCUGCGCCAGGACGGAAAGACCCCAUGGAGCUUUACUCCAGUUUGAUACUGGGAUUCGAUACUGAAUGUACAGGAUAGGUGGGAGGCUGAGAAGCGUGGACGCCAGUCUGCGGUGAGCCGCUGUUGGGAUACCACCCUUUGAGUAUUGGAUUUCUAACCUGCGCCCGUGACCCGGGCGGGGGACAAUGUCUGACGGGGAGUUUGACUGGGGCGGUCGCCUCCGAAAGGGUAUCGGAGGCGCUCAAAGGUUCCCUCAGAAUGGUUGGAAACCAUUCGCAGAGUGCAAAGGCAGAAGGGAGCUUGACUGUGACACCGACGGGUGGAGCAGGUACGAAAGUAGGACUUAGUGAUCCGGUGGUAUGAAAGUGGGAUUGCCAUCGCUCAACGGAUAAAAGCUACCCUGGGAUAACAGGCUUAUCACUCCCAAGAGUUCACAUCGACGGAGUGGUUUGGCACCUCGAUGUCGGCUCAUCGCAUCCUGGGGCUGUAGCAGGUCCCAAGGGUUGGGCUGUUCGCCCAUUAAAGCGGUACGCGAGCUGGGUUCAGAACGUCGCGAGACAGUUCGGUCCCUAUCCGGCGCAGGCGUAGGAUAUUUGAGAGGAGCUGUCCUUAGUACGAGAGGACCGGGAUGGACAGACCGCUGGUGUAUCUGUUGGUGACCAACACCAUGGCAGAGUAGCCAAGUCUGGCAGGGAUAAACGCUGAAGGCAUCUAAGCGUGAAGCCCCCCUCAAGAUGAGAUAUCCCAAUAAGUAAGACCCCUUAGAGAGUAUGAGGUAGAUAGGCUUAAGGUGUAAGCAUAGUAAUAUGUUCAGCUGAUAAGUACUAAUAGGUCGAGGGCUUAU
RNAcentral lists this ribosomal RNA (1416 nucleotides) under metagenome. RNAcentral's name for it is "bacterial LSU rRNA". It matches the Rfam family "Bacterial large subunit ribosomal RNA", at positions 1478 to 2925 of the family's 2925-position model. The record is from RNAcentral.